CCCUACUGGCGGGAUUUUAUUUUGUUAAUAAAGUUUGCUUCUUUGAAUCCGACCUCGUCAUCGCUUGGCGGGCAGUGCCCUCUGCUGUCCUCCCGCCAGAAUUCACAAACAGCGCAUUUUAUAAACAGUGGCGCUGCGGCUUGUGCUCCAUCGUGUCCAGAUUUUUACUCCAUCAUUUACACCGCAAUUCCGCCAUGCUGGACAUCUUCAUCCUCAUGUUCUUCGCCAUCACUGGACUGGUCAUCCUCUCCUAUAUUAUCUACAUGCUGUAAAGAGAUGUUGGAAAUCCAUAGAAUUUAUGGCAGACACACAGAGGUGCAAGUCCCAGCUCAGAAGGCCCAGGACUAACACCAGAAGACAGAAGUUUUUCUACAAAGAGUUUGGAGGACAAAGCCUGGUGAGGAGCGAUGGUGGUGGUCCUGGUGGUGAGGACAGGGGUCUUCAUUCUCCCUCGUCUUCAGAGAUGUAGCAGCUUUUUUUCUUCUACUGAACUAUAUAACCUGAAAUCCACUUGUUUCCACUUCUGAUUUCCUCUGCCUUUCUGCAGCUUUUUAGCUCCAGUAGUGAGUCCUCUACCUCUUUCCAGUAUGCCAGUGGUCUUCUGUAAUGCUUGUUCUCUGCUUGUCUUUCAACAAUUUCCAUUUAGGAACAUUCCUUCUUCUUUCAGGCUUUCUUGUGCCAGCCACUGUAUUAGCCCUGCUUUUUGCUCAUUGUGUAAUUUAUUUGUUUUUGUAACAUUUGACAGCUGAGCUCCUGAAGUCUUUGUCCUCCAGGCCCAUUAGAAGCCUCAAACAAUAGAUUUUCCCAUCCUAUUUUACUUUCCCUUUCCACUUAGGCACUUUAUGAUGCAUCUGUAUUGAUUUUGUUUUAGUUGUUUGACAUCUUCCCAGUAUGCAAUGUUUUUCCAGACUGCCUUUUACUCUUCUUCCAAACUUACUUAGUAGUUUAUUACUGUCUGUGUAUGUAUUUAUUUCAAGGUCAAAUUUAUUUAUCAUAUCGAUGCUUGAAAUAUUAGAUGAUGAAUGAGAAAUACUUUAUUUGUCCCUGUCUUCAUGACUGUGUAUUUCAAUAGUGGAAGUGUAUACCAAAAUGUGUUACAUGCAUGUCCUGGUCAUCAGUUCUGUAAAUAAAAUUACCUAAUAUAACA
This is a long non-coding RNA of Polypterus senegalus (gray bichir), 1147 nucleotides long. RefSeq lists it as uncharacterized. The record is from RefSeq and is a predicted model, not a curated record. The transcript is spliced from 2 exons. Lineage: Eukaryota; Metazoa; Chordata; Cladistia; Polypteriformes; Polypteridae.